This 85-nucleotide transfer RNA is filed under the name Chloroflexota bacterium. RNAcentral describes it as "Chloroflexi bacterium (anaerobic digester metagenome) tRNA-Ser". It matches the Rfam family "tRNA". Rfam says of the family: Transfer RNA (tRNA) molecules are approximately 80 nucleotides in length. Their secondary structure includes four short double-helical elements and three loops (D, anti-codon, and T loops). Further hydrogen bonds mediate the characteristic L-shaped molecular structure. tRNAs have two regions of fundamental functional importance: the anti-codon, which is responsible for specific mRNA codon recognition, and the 3' end, to which the tRNAs corresponding amino acid is attached (by aminoacyl-tRNA synthetases). tRNAs cope with the degeneracy of the genetic code in two manners: having more than one tRNA (with a specific anti-codon) for a particular amino acid; and 'wobble' base-pairing, i.e. permitting non-standard base-pairing at the 3rd anti-codon position. The record is from RNAcentral. Lineage: Bacteria; Bacillati; Chloroflexota.
GGAGGGAUGGCAGAGCGGCCUAUUGCGGCGGUCUUGAAAACCGUUGUGGGCUUGCCCACCGGGGGUUCGAAUCCCUCUCCCUCCG